Homo sapiens (human) is the source of this 1677-nucleotide long non-coding RNA. NCBI's taxonomy places the organism in Eukaryota, Metazoa, Chordata, Mammalia, Primates, Hominidae. The record is from Ensembl.
GAGAAAAAUGGAUCUGUGAAAAUAUUUCUGAGCAUGAGUGCGUGUGUGUGUAGUGCACUAGUGAUUUUCCAUCUGAGAGUUGGAAAAACCUAUCUUCUAUGACAUGGGGGCAGAAGAUUAUGGAUCAAGUACCACGCAUAACUAACUAGUGCGAGAUGAUUUAUCUUAUUUAAGCAGCCUGCACUCGGGCCAUCUCCACUGAUAUAUCUGCUGGAUACUAUGGACUAGGUAGACUGGCUGGCUUUGUCAUUGAAUUUGCAACAGGACCGUCACAAAUUGGUUUUCCACACUUAUCCGUCACUGGGCAAUCUGCUUCCAAAGGGUAGCUUAUGCUGUUGGACAGAGCGCGGGUGGUGUUUACACCAGAGGAGACCAUCUGGAAAUGCAAUCAGAGACCUGAGCCUCGGGGGAUUAUUGGACCCAGUCGAGCAUGAAAGGAAGAUCUGUGCCCAGAGCUCUUUGGUUCUGCCAUGACCUUAGCUCCACGCAGCUAUAAUUUUGACCCUUUAAUGUAACUAAUUUGACUACAGUUACUUUUGCAGGCUCCAGCUCAGUCAAUUCUCAUCAAACAGCAGGAACUAUAUUGAAGCAGGUGACAAAAGAGUAAAAAGCAAGUUAUUUCCCAAACUACUACAGUCACUCAUCGUCAAUUAUUGAUCAGAGAAGGUUUUGUAAUGUAAAUUCUACAGGACAAACACAUGUGGUAGAUAAUGCCAUAAAUACACAUCACAGACAAUGUGAUUUUAAAAUGGAAUCAUAUCAAAAAUACCUGCAUGAGUCUUUCAAAAUAUCUGUGAACUCAUACAAACUUCAGACCUUCCUGGCCUUACUAACACUAUGAUAAUAUAUGUGGCAGAAGCACCUUCGCAGGCUCAAAUUAUUCAGUGCCUGAACUAUUGUAUAUUCUUCAGUUUUUAAAAUUAAAUUUCCUGCUGGCCACAGACAGAUCCCUCUGGGACACACCCUCAUUUCUUUAAACCCUGAGGUAAGACUAAUUUUCCUGGCUAGAUCCUAUGAAUAUAAGGCCAGAUCUUUAUUAUGCUAAAUUGUAGACCAGCCUGCACACAGAAAGAUUCCUAUACAGCCUGCCAUGAACACUGUCAAUCUCUUUGGGAAUGGUCACACAAUUCUGUCUAAUGAUGCAAUGAAAGCCAGACUUUCAAAGGCAAACAAUCGAAUAAAGAGAAAGAAGAAGAGAGGUAAAAGAAAAAGUUGAGGCAGAAAUAAUUUAUCUUCUUUUUGAGUAAAAUUUGCCAAGGAAAGCUACCCAAGUGUUGCCAGAGAAAAAUUAUAUUUGUGAUAGCUGACCUUCAAAUAGAUUCUUGAUAUUUAUCAUCUAAAAUUCAAGCUACAGAAACUCAGCCUUUCAUCUCAAGAAUUUUAACCAUGCUGUUGUGUUUAUCUUGUCCAAAUGAGUAUGCAAAAUCUUCCUAUUAUUCACUCAUUAGAAUUCAUUCCAAACUCCACAUUACUUUGUAGAGAAAGAAGGAGAGGAUCACCUCACUAAGGAAAAAAAAAGGCCCAUUUUCUCCCAGUGACUGUGGAACACCAUAUGGAAAGUCUUACUCAAAUGGCCAUUGCUCUUCUAAGACAAAUACCUUGCAUAAUUGUAGCAGUUAGAACUAAGACUGCUCAAAUAUUGGCAGAAACUAUCUGACACUUCUUCACUUACUUUCA